GGGCGGGCCAGAGUCUCCAGCCUGAAGCGGAAGUGGAGGAAAGAUGGAGGACCAUCAGCACGUGCCCAUCGACAUCCAGACCAGCAAGCUGCUCGAUUGGCUGGUGGACAGAAGGCACUGCAGCCUGAAAUGGCAGAGUCUGGUGCUGACGAUCCGCGAGAAGAUCAAUGCUGCCAUCCAGGAUAUGCCAGAGAGCGAAGAGAUCGCCCAGCUGCUGUCUGGGUCCUACAUUCACUACUUUCACUGCCUAAGAAUCCUGGACCUUCUCAAAGGCACAGAGGCCUCCACGAAAAAUAUUUUUGGCCGAUACUCUUCACAGCGGAUGAAGGAUUGGCAGGAGAUUAUAGCCCUGUAUGAGAAGGACAACACCUACUUAGGUAAAGUGGCCUGGCCUGGGAGCCCUGGUAUCCAUGGGGAAGCCCACUCUCAGAGUUCUGAGAUACCAGGCUUAUAGGAGGCACAGUCUGUGAGUGGGAAGAGACUGGAGUAUAGAUGUUGCCUGUUUGUAGGUGGUAGAAUCAAUUGUUUUUGAUGGAGUUGAUUUUCCCUGGGUGGAGUGCUGGGGGAAGGAGGAGGUCCAGGCCGGUAGUGGGCAUUCACCAUGCCUCAGCGAGCAGGUGUGUGUGGGUCCUCCACCACUCACCUGUUGCUUAGCGGGAGUGUGCUGCCCCCACCCCUACGCCCGCACCCCCAUUCUGCAAGGCAGAAGAGGCACGGGUUUUCCUGGGAGCGAAUAUCAAGUGCCUGAGAGAGAGCAACUACAGGACUAAUUGUGUUUGGGUUGGGUUUAGUAUAAAUGAUAAUAAUGGCUAAUAUUUACUGAGCAUCUACUAAAUGCAAGGAAUUGUGCUUGGUGUGUCAUGUGGAUUCCCUCUUGCGUCUUCAUGAUAAAUGUUAUUGUCGCUGUUUUACAGAUGAGGGUUGGAUUAGAGGGGUUAAACAACUUGUCUUAGGCUCCACAGCUGGGAACAAGUGGGGCAGGGAAGCUGACUUCAUGCUCUUCACCACCACAAAGGGUGUGUGUGCAUCCUGGGGCAUGCCUGCCUCAUGUGGGGGUGUCCUGGGCUGAAUUUCCUGGGCACUUCUCAGUGGAACUCUCUAGCCUCCUGGUUCGGAAUGUCAACUAUGAGAUCCCCUCACUGAAGAAGCAGAUUGCCAAGUGCCAGCAGCUGCAGCAAGAAUACAGCCGCAAGGAGGAGGAGUGCCAGGCAGGGGCUGCCGAGAUGCGGGAGCAGUUCUACCACUCCUGCAAGCAGUAUGGUAUCAUGGGCGAAAAUGUCCGAGGAGAACUGCUGGCCCUGGUGAAGGACCUGCCGAGUCAGCUGGCUGAGAUUGGGGCAGCGGCUCAGCAGUCCCUGGGGGAAGCCAUUGACGUGUACCAGGCGUCUGUGGGGUUUGUGUGUGAGAGGUAAAGAGGCCUCAGCUUCUGGCGGGGGUGCUUUGCCUGUGUUCCCCAGCUCAUGUCCCUUCUCCAGUUGUCUUGUUCCCAUAUAACGUUUGAACUCUUUUUACACACCUGAACCUGUGGGGGCCUUGCCCAUUUGACCAUGUGGCCCAGGCCAAAGCCCAGUGUUGACCUUAUGCAUGGUCGGCAGGAGAGUCAGUUGUGUGCUCUGUUGAAGCCCCACAGAGCAGGUGUUGCCAAUGCUGCAGUUCGUGCAGAAGCGGGGAAACUCAACGGUGUACGAGUGGAGGACAGGGACAGAGCCCUCUGUGGUGGAGCGACCCCACCUCGAGGAGCUUCCGGAGCAGGUGGCAGAAGACGCGAUUGACUGGGGCGACUUUGGGGUAGAGGCAGUGUCUGAGGGGACUGACUCUGGCAUCUCUGCCGAGGCUGCUGGAAUCGACUGGGGCAUCUUCCCGGAAUCAGAUUCAAAGGACCCUGGAGGUGAUGGGAUAGACUGGGGAGACGAUGCUGUUGCUUUGCAGAUCACAGUGCUGGAAGCGGGAACCCAGGCUCCAGAAGGUGUUGCCAGGGGCCCAGAUGCCCUGACACUUCUUGAAUACACUGAGACCCGGAAUCAGUUCCUUGAUGAACUCAUGGAGCUUGAGAUCUUCUUAGCCCAGAGAGCAGUGGAGUUGAGUGAGGAGGCAGACGUCCUGUCUGUGAGCCAGUUCCAGCUGGCUCCAGCCAUCCUGCAGGGUCAGACCAAAGAGAAGACGGUUACCAUGGUGUCAGUGCUGGAGGAUCUGAUUGGCAAGCUUACCAGUCUUCAACUGCAACACCUGUUUAUGAUCCUGGCCUCACCAAGGUAUGUGGACCGAGUGACUGAAUUCCUCCAGCAAAAGCUGAAGCAGUCCCAGUUGCUGGCUUUGAAGAAAGAGCUGAUGGUGCAGAAGCAGCAGGAGGCACUUGAGGAGCAGGCAGCUCUGGAGCCUAAGCUGGACCUGCUGCUGGAGAAGACCAAGGAGCUGCAGAAGCUGAUUGAAGCUGACAUCUCCAAGAGGUACAGCGGGCGCCCUGUGAACCUGAUGGGAACCUCUCUGUGACACCCUCCGUGUUCUUGCCUGCCCAUCUUCUCCGCUUUUGGGAUGAAGAUGAUAGCCAGGGCUGUUGUUUUGGGGCCCUUCAAGGCAAAAGACCAGGCCGACUGGAAGACGGAAAGCCACAGGAAGGAAGCAGCACCUGAUGGUGAUCUUGGCACUCUCCAUGUUCUCUACAAGAAGCUGUGGUGAUUGGCCCUGUGGCCUGUCAGGUGAAAACCACAGCUUCUUCUAAUUAGUAUAGCAGACUUCAUAAAAGAGGAAAAAACUCUU
RNAcentral lists this small RNA (2757 nucleotides) under Pongo abelii (Sumatran orangutan). RNAcentral's name for it is "retained intron". Lineage: Eukaryota; Metazoa; Chordata; Mammalia; Primates; Hominidae. The record is from RNAcentral.